RNAcentral lists this non-coding RNA (87 nucleotides) under Sphingomonadales bacterium RIFCSPHIGHO2_01_FULL_65_20. RNAcentral's name for it is "partial 16S ribosomal RNA". It matches the Rfam family "Bacterial small subunit ribosomal RNA", at positions 1 to 98 of the family's 1533-position model. The record is from RNAcentral. Lineage: Bacteria; Pseudomonadati; Pseudomonadota; Alphaproteobacteria; Sphingomonadales.
CAACUUGAGAGUUUGAUCCUGGCUCAGAACGAACGCUGGCGGCAUGCCUAACACAUGCAAGUCGAACGAAGGCUUCGGCCUUAGUGG